AAACAUUUUUGUGAGAAAUACAUUUUUAAUAUAACCUGCUCCAUGCAUAAGUAAAUAGCUGCAGUAUCUUGACUGUACAAAGGUAGCAUAAUCAUUAGCUUUUUAAUUGAGGGCUAGAAUGAACGGUUGAACGUGGAAUAAUCUUUUUUUUAUUAUUUUAAUUUUAUUUUUGAGUAAUAAAGCUUAAAUGAAUUAGAGGGACGAGAAGACCCUAUAGAAUUUUAAAGAAUUGAAUAAAUUUUUUGGUUGGGGUGACAGAACUAAAUAUUUUUUUUUUUCAUUUAUAAAUGGUUAAAUGAUCCUAAAAUUAGAUAGCAAGAUUAAAUUACCUUAGGGAUAACAGCAUAAUUUUUCUUUUAAGAUCAUAUUUAUAGAAAAGAUUAUGACCUCGAUGUUGAAUUAAAAUUAUAAUUAGGUGUAGAUAUUUAAUUG
Molecule: ribosomal RNA, 432 nt
Filed under: Epitrioza marginata
Lineage: Eukaryota; Metazoa; Arthropoda; Insecta; Hemiptera; Triozidae
Description: partial 16S ribosomal RNA
Source: RNAcentral